UCAGUCUCGGGGAAGAUGGCGGCGCUGCGCUUGGUGUCCUGCGCCCUUCGGAUCUCUCUCAGAGUGCCAGCCCCAGUGCCAGUGCUGGGGGGCAUCCAGCAGUUCUCUCACCUUGCCCAGCCCCUGGCUGCCAGCCGGAAUCUGACCCCCGCAAUCAGCACCCUGUGCCUGCAGCAGACCCGAAACGGCAGCUUCUUCAACAAGCUAACUGCUGAUCAGCUGUGGAAGGGGGUUCUGGCUGAGAGCGGUGCUGGAGGCCGAAAAGGCAGAGGAAAGAGAACCAAGAGGAAGAUGAAGAAGGAUCUCAACAGAGGACAAGUGCUAGGUGAAGGGCGUGGUGGCUUCCUGUGGCCGGGUCUGAAUGUCAAAUUGUCCAUGGAGGGCACAGUAAACUCAAUCUCACAACGGGAUGCUGCAGAGCAGCAGGAGCUACAAGCAGAACGUCUGCGCCAGCGCGAGGAGUGGGACCGCCAGAGGAAGAUGAAGGUGAAGCGGCAGCGUGGGUGGACGGGCCACUCCUGGGGGGGCAUCAGUAUUGGCCCUCCUGACCCCGGACCUAAUGGAGAAACUUACGAAGAUUUUGACUCACGGGUCAUUGAGAUGAAAAGUGUCUUCAACAUGACGGCAAAGGAAGGCAGGAAGAAGUCUGUCAGCUGCCUGGUUGCCGUUGGAAACGGCAAGGGUGCCGCAGGUUUCGCCUUGGGGAAAGCAACCGAUCGCCUGGUGGCCAUGAGAAAAGCGAAGAACAGGGCGGUCCACUACCUGCAGUACAUCGAGAGACACAACAACCACACGAUUUACCAUGACAUCACCUCCACCUUCAAGAGGACAACGCUGCGUAUGAAGAAGCAGAACAGAGGUGAACCGGGGGCAGGGGGUCCCGCUGUGCCGCAGCCGAAUGCACGCGAGACGUCGAGUUUCUCAAGGGAGACGGUCCAUUUUAUUGGAGGGACACACAAGACACGUAUGACGUGUGACACGGGACAGCUGUGACAGCGCGAUGGUCGGUGUCAUCGAUUCUUCUGCGGAUGCACUUUUCUGCCUCCUGCUUGUUUGAGUCGGCGCUCGGCUGCUUUAGACCCUUCCGUCGGACGUUAGACGGCGACAAACCGAUGAGUGUGCGUGGGCUUGAGCUGCAAUGAUGCCUCGGACCUUUCGGUCUUUGCACGGCUCCCUAAUUAGGCCUCGCUUCGUCAUGUUCAAACCGGUCCCGAUUAUGUCAGAGGGACGCCGCGUUUGGGGGAGCGUGAUUUAAACGCUGCCUCCGGCACUAGUUUUUUACUUUUUGUUUUUAUAUUUUUUUAAUGAACAUGAACUCGCUGCUUCUAAGAGCUUCUGCAUUAUAAAAAAAACCCAAAGAAUUUUCUACAGCCCGCGCAGUGAGCGAAGCAGAGCUCGGCGCCGUUGUUUCGGUGUGUGCAGGUGCUCGUGAUUUUUUUUCCCCUCCAGCAGCAUUGUGGGUAAUCAUCUGCGCGGGGUUCCAUGGGAUCGGUGCAGAGCGGUUGCAGGGUAUAAAAUAUAGGAGCGCGUUAAAAGGGAGCCCCAAGUAGCUGUUUCAGGAGAGCACGGGUCUCUAGAGCCCUGGGAGGCGCCCUGCCGCGAGCUCUGCUGGAGGAAGUCCUGACAGAUGACAGAGUGCCCCCUGGUGGCCAUUGGACUGACAGCAGGCACCGCAGGAGUUGACUGUCCCCAGGUAUGUUACGUGUCUCAUGCCAACGUUGGCAGUGUAUCACACGGAUAAAUGAACCGCGGGCUCCAUCCAUCACCCUGUCGCCAUGGCGAUCCCAAGCUGGAUUCUGUAAUGGGGGAUGCGCAGAAACCAAUUCCAACCGGGCCCAGGUGGGACACUGACACCAAGGGUUCAUCGCUCACAUAGACCGAGGGGGCCGUUGGGUGUCGGCUUUUGUCCCAGGGCCGGACCUGGAAGCACAGGACUAAGAGGACAUGUCCCCGCAGCAACUAAGAUCUUGCUCCUCCUCCCAUCCUGUCCCCCAUGUGAGUCACAAGCAGCCAGUGAGCUGUAGAAAGUUCCGGAAAUCUCAUUAGUAAGGCCGGUUGAGUGUCAUGGUAGAGAAAGCAGCGUAAUGGUUAUGUAAGGCAGUUACGAAACACCCCUCCCCACAGCAUGGUCAGUGCAGAAACCCCGUAGCUCCGUGCCUUGGAGAACGGACCCCACGGAGACACCGUACCCAGCUUUGCACAGGCUGCUCUGUGUGUCUGCGUGUGUGUGUGUGUGUGUGUGUGUGUGUGUGUGUGUGUGUGUGUGUGUGUGUGUGUGUGUGUCUGCAUACAGGAUUUGAUGCUAGUCUUAAGUGUGCCGACAUUUGUUUUCUGUUCCAUUCUCGAAGAUUUUAAUUUAAUUAAUUUUUUUUUUUUUUUUAAACGAGAUGAUCUUGAUAUCUGUGCCCGAAUCCCUAAAUUGAAACAGUAAUGCCUGCAGGCUGCGGAUUCUCACAUGCCAGCUGGUCGCUGUAUCUGCGUGAGCAGCCCAUCUGAGCCAAAGUAGGGACGAUGAGCGAUGCAAGAAAUGACGGUUAAGGUCAGGGAUUAGGAAGCCGAACGCAUCCUGCUGUUUGGAGGUGAAUUUAAGGUUACGGUUUGCGAUGCCACCGGGCCGUGAUCACCAUAUGCAAGCUCAUCGGCAUCGAAGAUAUGUAC
RNA transcript from Scleropages formosus (Asian bonytongue), 2658 nucleotides. It is a transcript of the gene named mitochondrial ribosomal protein S5, with no coding region annotated. The transcript has 10 exons. NCBI's taxonomy places the organism in Eukaryota, Metazoa, Chordata, Actinopteri, Osteoglossiformes, Osteoglossidae. The record is from RefSeq and is a predicted model, not a curated record.